This is a long non-coding RNA of Malus domestica (apple), 1769 nucleotides long. RefSeq lists it as uncharacterized. Lineage: Eukaryota; Viridiplantae; Streptophyta; Magnoliopsida; Rosales; Rosaceae. The record is from RefSeq and is a predicted model, not a curated record.
GUGUGUUGAGAUGAAAAACAACUAAGAGAGCAAGAAGUGAGAAAAGAGUGAAGAAGUGUAAAAGUGUUUGAGUGUUUCCUCUUGUACUAGUUUGUGAGUGAAUAAAAAUUUUGUGUAAAAACUUUGAGUGUUCUUUCUUUCUCUUGCCUAUCAAUUCUGCUACAUUACAUUCUUCUUUGUGAGAUAAACGUCUCCAAAGUAGAGAAAUCUUUUUAAGCCCCAACAUAAUUACCAAAGCCUUGCAAGCUGCAGGUCAACAGGAUUUGGAAUCAUAAACCCACAGUUGUUCGCUAAUCCCGUUCUCCCUUUUCGUAUCCUCUCUCUGUGCAAUUCCCUUUCUCUUCCCAUGAGAAACUAACCUAAUAAUAUUUCUUCCUUAAUUUCGUCUCCUCCCUUUCCGAUCCAUCUCUCUCGCCCUCUCUUUCGGUCACUGUCGGGAUUUUAUCUCUAAUAUUAAAAAGUCAGAAGUGAGUUUUGGUGUCUUAAGCUUCAACAAUUAAUUUAUGUAUUAUAUUGAUUGUGUUGUGUUUGUUUUCUCUUAUAACCUAUUUAUUUUCUUUAUAAUUAAAUAGUUGCAGAUGAAAGUUUUGAAGCAUCUACGUACAAUCAUUAUCUUCAAAAGAGAAGGGUAAGGUGAUUAUCGUCGCGUGAUUUAAGUUGUCAUCUCCAAAAUUUUAAAUAUUAUGAAUUGAGUCAAGAAGAUUAGGAUUCUUUAGGCUUCCUACGGGAACAAUUUCCGUUAGAAGAGAAGGUUCCAUGGGAACAAGUGUGUUUUUUUUUAAGAAAAAAAAAAAGAGAAGAAAAGAAGUGUGGGGAGAAAUGAUGAGAAGAUAUUGGAACAUCAAUUUGGAAAAGAUGAUGGAAGCAGAAGUUCAUUUUGGUCAUGGUACUAGGAAAUGGAAUUCUAGAAUGGCACCUUAUAUCUCUGCAAAGCGUAAAGACAUUCAUAUUGUAAAUCCUACUAGAACUGCUCGGUUUUUAUCAGAAGCUUGUGAUUUAGUUUUUGAUGUAGCAAGUAGGGGAAAACAAUUCUUUAUUGUUGGUAACAAAAAUAAAGCAGCUGAUUCAGUAGCACAGGCUGCAAUAAAAGCUCUAAAAAAAAUGUUAAUAAAAAAUGGCUCGGUGGCAUGUUAACGAAUUGGUAUACUACAGAAACGAGACUUCAUAAGUUUAGGGACUUGAGAACAGAACAAAAGACAGGGAGACUUAACCUUCUUCCGAAUAGGGAUGUGGUUGUGUUGAAGAGAUAAGUAUUUCACUUGCAAACAUAUCUCGGCGGAAUUAAAUAUAUGAUGGGGUUACCCGAUAUUGUAAUAAUCGUUGAUCAGCAAGAAGAAUAUACGGCUUUUCGAGAAUGCAUCACUUUGGGAAUUUCAAUGAUUUGUUUAAUCGAUACAAAUUGUGACCCGGAUUCGAUUCCAGUGAAUGAUGACGCUAUAGCUUCAAUCCAAUUAAUUCUUAACAAAUUAGUAUUUGCAAUUUGUAAGGGUCGUUCUAGCUAUAUACGAAAUUCUUGAUUAAUAAUAAGAUACGUAAAUUUUUGGAGGAACUCCGUAGAAUAGAUUUAUUGCAUCGGUUACUAUUCUUGAAUAGUACAAAAGAGAUAAAAAUAAUUGUGGGGAUAUUAUGUGAUUAGUUGAUAUUCAAAAUAUACAAUUCAAGUAUGCAAGUCAAAAAAUGAUGGUUGAAUCAAAAUAAUUCCUUUAAAAGUUCUAUUUCUUUUAGAGGGUAAUAUGAAUGUUCUCUUAUAUUCGAUCAAAACACUAAAA